RNAcentral lists this ribosomal RNA (253 nucleotides) under uncultured bacterium. RNAcentral's name for it is "partial 16S ribosomal RNA". It matches the Rfam family "Bacterial small subunit ribosomal RNA", at positions 524 to 776 of the family's 1533-position model. The record is from RNAcentral.
UACAGAGACUGCAAGCGUUAUUCGGAUUCACUGGGCGUAAAGGGUGCGCAGGCGGCCGUGUGUGUGAGGCGUGAAAGCCCGGGGCUUAACCCCGGAAUUGCACCUCAAACUACAUGGCUAGAGCAUUGGAGAGGGUAGCGGAAUUCACGGUGUAGCAGUGAAAUGCGUAGAUAUCGUGAGGAACACCAGAGGCGAAGGCGGCUACCUGGACAAUUGCUGACGCUCAGGCACGAAAGCGUGGGGAGCAAACGGG